CGAGUCAUUGUAGCAUACAAGGCAUACGGCUCAGUAACGCGUAGUCCACUUAACCUAUGGACGGGAAUAACCUCGGGAAACUGAGAAUAAUGCCCGAUAGAACAUUAUGCCUGGAAUGGUUUAUGUUCCAAAUGAUUUAUCGCCGUAGGAUGGGACUGCGGCCUAUCAGUUUGUUGGUGAGGUAAUGGCCCACCAAGACUAUUACAGGUACGGGCUCUGAGAGGAGUAGCCCGGAGAUGGGUACUGAGACACGGACCCAGGCCCUAUGGGGCGCAGCAGGCGAGAAAACUUUGCAAUGUGCGAAAGCACGACAAGGUUAAUCCGAGUGGUUUCUGCUAAAGAAACCUUUUGUCAGUCCUAGAAACACUGAUGAAUAAGGGGUGGGCAAGUUCUGGUGUCAGCCGCCGCGGUAAAACCAGCACCUCAAGUGGUCAGGAUGAUUAUUGGGCCUAAAGCAUCCGUAGCCGGCUCUGUAAGUUUUCGGUUAAAUCUGUACGCUCAACGUACAGGCUGCCGGGAAUACUGCAGAGCUAGGGAGUGGGAGAGGUAGACGGUACUCGGUAGGAAGGGGUAAAAUCCUUUGAUCUAUUGAUGACCACCUGUGGCGAAGGCGGUCUACCAGAACACGUCCGACGGUGAGGGAUGAAAGCUGGGGG
RNAcentral lists this ribosomal RNA (656 nucleotides) under uncultured crenarchaeote. Its description in RNAcentral is "bacterial SSU rRNA". It matches the Rfam family "Archaeal small subunit ribosomal RNA", at positions 54 to 717 of the family's 1478-position model. The record is from RNAcentral. Lineage: Archaea; Thermoproteati; Thermoproteota.